Molecule: ribosomal RNA, 253 nt
Filed under: uncultured bacterium
Lineage: Bacteria
Description: partial 16S ribosomal RNA
Rfam family: Bacterial small subunit ribosomal RNA
Source: RNAcentral
UACGGAGGGGGCUAGCGUUGUUCGGAAUUACUGGGCGUAAAGCGCACGUAGGCGGAUUAGUAAGUUGGGGGUGAAAUCCCAGGGCUCAACCCUGGAACUGCCCUCAAAACUACUAGUCUUGAGUUCGAGAGAGGUGAGUGGAAUUCCGAGUGUAGAGGUGAAAUUCGUAGAUAUUCGGAGGAACACCAGUGGCGAAGGCGGCUCACUGGCUCGAUACUGACGCUGAGGUGCGAAAGCGUGGGGAGCAAACAGG